Molecule: non-coding RNA, 279 nt
Organism: Paramuricea clavata
Lineage: Eukaryota; Metazoa; Cnidaria; Anthozoa; Malacalcyonacea; Plexauridae
Source: the annotation of a GenBank genome assembly
ACCGUUAUAACAUGCAAACAUCCACUGCAAGAGGUCUACAGGAGGAAAUUUGUGAAUAGGAAGAGAAGAGACUGGGGACUAGUGUGUUGCCAUGACAACCACAUGACCUGCCAAAAAUAUUCAUAUGGGUGCACCCACGAAGUGUACCGAGUUUCAUUGAAUUUUAUUAAAUACUCACCAAGAUAUCAGACUUUCUUGUUAUUGCCAUUAUCUCAAGUCAAACUAGUGACGUCACAACUCAAAAUUUAGAAAGUGCGAUAACUUGAGAAUGAGAUGAGA